This 252-nucleotide ribosomal RNA is filed under the name uncultured bacterium. RNAcentral's name for it is "partial 16S ribosomal RNA". It matches the Rfam family "Bacterial small subunit ribosomal RNA", at positions 524 to 776 of the family's 1533-position model. The record is from RNAcentral.
UACGUAGGGGGCUAGCGUUAUCCGGAAUUACUGGGCGUAAAGGGUGCGUAGGUGGUUUCUUAAGUCAGAGGUGAAAGGCUACGGCUCAACCGUAGUAAGCCUUUGAAACUGGGGAACUUGAGUGCAGAAGAGGAGAGUGGAAUUCCUAGUGUAGCGGUGAAAUGCGUAGAUAUUAGGAGGAACACCAGUUGCGAAGGCGGCUCUCUGGACUGUAACUGACACCGAGGCACGAAAGCGUGGGGAGCAAACAGG